Long non-coding RNA from Brachypodium distachyon (stiff brome), 283 nucleotides. RefSeq lists it as uncharacterized. Lineage: Eukaryota; Viridiplantae; Streptophyta; Magnoliopsida; Poales; Poaceae. The transcript is spliced from 3 exons. The record is from RefSeq and is a predicted model, not a curated record.
CUUGGUCCAAAAUCAUUUCUUUUACACGGGAAUUUUGGGUCGAUCUGAGAGGAUUUCGUUUCCUUCAGUGCUACGGACAAGAGAACAAGCACCCGGUAGAUGAAGAUAUCUAUGACCAAGCAAGAGUCGGAAAUGCGCGAGGAUGACUGAACAGAAGUUGCUAGUCCAGAAGGCAAAGCCUGGGCUGGUCGCGAGGCAGCAACUGAAUCCCCAGAGCCUCUAUGCAAGAAGAGAAGGAAAAGGAUCAAUGAGAGACUGAAGACGCAGAAGACCCUAAUAUUAU